UGUUGAACCAGAACUGAUUGAUUUGCUAAAUUGUUGGUAAAAACAGGAAUAACUAACGAUACUUGAUGAUGAUGCUGGUGAGGUCUGGCAUUCUUCUUCACAUGUAGCCUCUUCUGCCUCCCUACAAACACUGCAUUUGUUUCCCCUUCCUUCUUAUUAGAGAAACUAGCAUAUUUCUUGCCUGAAGACGCUUCAUCUUUAGAUAACCGGCCUUCUUU
Molecule: long non-coding RNA, 218 nt
Filed under: Lathyrus oleraceus (garden pea)
Lineage: Eukaryota; Viridiplantae; Streptophyta; Magnoliopsida; Fabales; Fabaceae
Description: Pisum sativum (pea) long non-coding RNA (PSAT_LNC009202)
Source: RNAcentral